Molecule: ribosomal RNA, 274 nt
Filed under: uncultured bacterium
Lineage: Bacteria
Description: partial 16S ribosomal RNA
Rfam family: Bacterial small subunit ribosomal RNA
Source: RNAcentral
AUACGGAGGGUGCAAGCGUUAAUCGGAAUUACUGGGCGUAAAGCGCGCGUAGGCGGUUUGGUAAGUCGGAUGUGAAAGCCCCGGGCUCAACCUGGGAAUUGCAUUCGAUACUGUCAGGCUAGAGUAUGGUAGAGGGAAGCGGAAUUCCAGGUGUAGCGGUGAAAUGCGUAGAUAUCUGGAGGAACAUCAGUGGCGAAGGCGGCUUCCUGGAUCAAUACUGACGCUGAGGUGCGAAAGCGUGGGGAGCAAACAGGAUUAGAAACCCCGGUAGUCC